CCCUUCAGAGGGGGACAACAGUUGGAAACGACUGCUAAUACCGCAUACGAUCUAAUCUCGGCAUCGAGGAUAGAUGAAAGGUGGCCUCUACAUGUAAGCUAUCACUGAAGGAGGGGAUUGCGUCUGAUUAGCUAGUUGGAGGGGUAACGGCCCACCAAGGCGAUGAUCAGUAGCCGGUCUGAGAGGAUGAACGGCCACAUUGGGACUGGGACACGGCCCAG
Molecule: ribosomal RNA, 221 nt
Filed under: uncultured bacterium
Lineage: Bacteria
Description: partial 16S ribosomal RNA
Rfam family: Bacterial small subunit ribosomal RNA
Source: RNAcentral